RNAcentral lists this transfer RNA (67 nucleotides) under Protochauliodes biconicus. RNAcentral's name for it is "tRNA-Trp". It matches the Rfam family "tRNA". Rfam says of the family: Transfer RNA (tRNA) molecules are approximately 80 nucleotides in length. Their secondary structure includes four short double-helical elements and three loops (D, anti-codon, and T loops). Further hydrogen bonds mediate the characteristic L-shaped molecular structure. tRNAs have two regions of fundamental functional importance: the anti-codon, which is responsible for specific mRNA codon recognition, and the 3' end, to which the tRNAs corresponding amino acid is attached (by aminoacyl-tRNA synthetases). tRNAs cope with the degeneracy of the genetic code in two manners: having more than one tRNA (with a specific anti-codon) for a particular amino acid; and 'wobble' base-pairing, i.e. permitting non-standard base-pairing at the 3rd anti-codon position. Lineage: Eukaryota; Metazoa; Arthropoda; Insecta; Megaloptera; Corydalidae. The record is from RNAcentral.
AAGGUUUUAAGUUAAAUAAACUAAUAGCCUUCAAAGCUAUAAAUAAAGAAAUUUCCUUUAAGCCUUA